Molecule: small nucleolar RNA, 84 nt
Organism: Amaranthus tricolor (Joseph's coat)
Lineage: Eukaryota; Viridiplantae; Streptophyta; Magnoliopsida; Caryophyllales; Amaranthaceae
Product: small nucleolar RNA SNORD34
Exons: 1
Source: RefSeq, a predicted model, not a curated record
AAGGGCCUGUGAUGAUUGUUUAAAAGUUUUGCCUACAUUGUCUGAGAAUGCAAUGAUACGUCGAUACAUGUAUCUGAGGCCUUU